UGCAAGUCGGACGGGGUCGUUCUUGGUGGCAACACCUUGGACGGCCUAGUGGCGAACGGGUGAGUAACACGUGAGGAACCUGCCCCGAAGACCGGGAUAACAGAAGGAAACUUCUGCUAAUACCGGAUACCCCCACCGAACCGCAUGGUUUGGUGAGGAAAUGGAUUCCGCUUCGGGAGGGCCUCGCGGCCUAUCAGCUAGUUGGUGGGGUAACGGCCUACCAAGGCAUCGACGGGUAGCUGGUCUGAGAGGACGAUCAGCCACACUGGGACUGAGACACGGCCCAGACUCC
RNAcentral lists this ribosomal RNA (292 nucleotides) under unidentified marine bacterioplankton. RNAcentral describes it as "partial 16S ribosomal RNA". It matches the Rfam family "Bacterial small subunit ribosomal RNA", at positions 56 to 339 of the family's 1533-position model. RNAcentral also lists the same sequence under 1 other name. The record is from RNAcentral.